ACGUGCCAGCAGCCGCGGUAAUACGUAGUGGCGAGCGUUGUUCCGAAUUACUNGGGCGUAAAGGGUGUGCAGGCGGAUAUUUUAGUGAGAUGUGAAAGACCCGGGCUUAACCCGGGCAGUGCAUUUCAAACUGGAUAUCUAGAGUGCAGGAGAGGAGAACGGAAUUCCUAGUGUAGCGGUGAAAUGCGUAGAGAUUAGGAAGAACACCAGUGGCGAAGGCGGUUCUCUGGACUGUAACUGACGCUGAGGCACGAAAGCGUGGGUAGCAAACAGGAUUAGAUACCCUGGUAGUCCACGCCGUAAACGAUGAGUACUAGGUGUAGGGGGUAUCGACCCCCCCUGUGCCGCAGUAAACACAAUAAGUACUCCGCCUGGGAAGUACGAUCGCAAGAUUAAAACUCAAAGGAAUUGACGGGGACCCGCACAAGCAGCGGAGCAUGUGGUUUAAUUCGAAGCAACGCGAAGAACCUUACCUGGACUUGACAUCCCCUGAAUAACUUGUAAUGGAGGAAGCCCUUCGGGGCAGGGAGACAGGUGGUGCAUGGUUGUCGUCAGCUCGUGUCGUGAGAUGUUAGGUUAAGUCCUGCAACGAGCGCAACCCCUGUCGUUAGUUGCCAUCACGUAAAGGUGGGCACCCUAACGAGACUGCCGCGGUUAACGUGGAGGAAGGUGGGGAUGACGUCAAAUCAUCAUGCCCCUUAUGUCCAGGGCAACACACGUGCUACAAUGGGCAGAACAGAGAGAAGCAAUACCGCGAGGAGGAGCAAAUCUCAAAAACUGCCCCCAGUUCGGAUUGCAGGCUGAAACCCGCCUGCAUGAAGUUGGAGUUGCUAGUAAUCGCGAAUCAGCAUGUCGCGGUGAAUACGUUCCCGGGUCUUGUACACACCGCCCGUCACACCAUGAGAGCUGGCAACACCCGAAGUCCGUAGUCUAACCAAAAGGAGGACGCGGCCGAAGGUGGGGUUAGUGAUUGGGGUGAAGUCGUAACAAGGUAGCCG
Molecule: ribosomal RNA, 998 nt
Filed under: uncultured Clostridium sp.
Lineage: Bacteria; Bacillati; Bacillota; Clostridia; Eubacteriales; Clostridiaceae
Description: bacterial SSU rRNA
Rfam family: Bacterial small subunit ribosomal RNA
Source: RNAcentral